This 845-nucleotide unclassified non-coding RNA is filed under the name Hevea brasiliensis (rubber tree). Lineage: Eukaryota; Viridiplantae; Streptophyta; Magnoliopsida; Malpighiales; Euphorbiaceae. The record is from RNAcentral.
UAUUCAAUGCAUGUAUAUGGUAUUAUUCAAGGAUUUCAUAAGAUGAGAGAGCUGCCUCUUAAUUUUUCUGAUGUUUUCAAUAAUAGUUUCAUGUUCGAACUAAUGGAUCGAUGGCAAUUGCAAAUCAGAAGAGGAAGGAGGAUCAUUAUUGCACUUGCUGUGUCUCAACACGCUGGUCAUUCUUGCAAUUGUCAUUUGUGUGAGAAGAAAUUACCUGCAACUCCAACUUUUCUACUUCAUGAGAGGUUUCCAAUGGAACAAGUUGAGCGAUCGUCUUCGUUUCUAUGUUUUUGCCCCACAGCACUGCAUACAAGCCACUUACUAUCAAUGCUGCUCCUAGUAUGCUUCCAAGAUAUAGAUUUUCAUUGAUGAGUAGGGAUCCCGAAAAUGCAGUAAAUAUAAGUAAUAAAGGACUAAAAACCGACACAAAUAGAGGACCCCUCAAGUGGACGCACCAUAUCGUAAGAGCAUUCAUCGUGCCAGCAGCAAGUAUCCCCGUAUAUGCUGCUGUGAACAACCUUAUAUUCCAACCUAGUUUCCAUGCACUCCAAUCUUUCUCCAUGAAAAGGGCAUAAACAGUAGAUUGGAUUGAUGCCAUCAAUGCCAUUAAUGCAGAGCUUGAAUAGGGUAAUGGAUACCUUCUACUCAUUUGAGCCUGAAUGAUUAACCACAAGGCAAAUGAAGAGCAACUGGCCAGAGCUAAUGCACAACCUAAGGCUCGACUAGCAGGAGAUAAUGAUGAAGCUAUCUGGCUUCCUUGGGGCUGAUAAUGCUUCAUAAGAUCAAUGUGUGUUCUGAAGAUAUUGAUUUCUGAUCCCCUGUAAAAAGUGAGAAGCAUGGCUCCG